RNAcentral lists this long non-coding RNA (1337 nucleotides) under Cricetulus griseus (Chinese hamster). RNAcentral's name for it is "lncRNA (ENSCGRG00015034217.1)". Lineage: Eukaryota; Metazoa; Chordata; Mammalia; Rodentia; Cricetidae. The record is from RNAcentral.
GGCGGAACACCCCCCCCCCACUCACCCCACCCCCGCUGAUGGGUGGCUGCUGUUCCUGAGGGAAGUCUUUGGCCUGCUUGUCAGUUGGAGCACAGCAAUGAUGCACAGAGUUCUUGGGAUGCUCAAACAGGAAAAAGAAUAGAAGAAUCAAGCAUCAACCUGAAAGGAUUUGCAGCAAAAUCUUGCACAAGGCUCUGACUGCCCUGGAAGGACAAGAACCAGCUGUGGGAUAAGUUGAGUCUUUGAACCCAACACUUUCAUCCUUUGUUCUUCAGAAGAAAACAGGCUGUCUGGGUACCAGGGAUUGAACUCCGGUUGUCAGGCUCGGCACCAAGUACCUUUACCCACUAAGCCAUCUGGAUGGACUCUUUUUAAGGCCUCAAAGACUUUGAUUUGAUCCUUAAAGCCACAGGACACACAGAUAACUCUUGCCCCAUUGAGACUAGGGUCUAAGAUUGCCUAUCUUCAAGAUCUCAGGGACAAGAGGGCGGAGGAGGGAGAGAUUGUCAUUACCCACAGAAAAGUCAGCCCAGUCCCUCUGAUGGGCCCCUGCGACCUGCAGCCAUGGCUCCAGGUGGGUGAAAAAGGCCUAAGGACCCAGAGCAAAUACAGCUAUUCUUGUUAACUGGCCUACCUCAUAGAAAAACAGUUCACAGUGGACCCGAGUCGAGCCUCAGAACCCAUGUUUAAAAACUAAAAUCAGAUCACUGGGCACAAGCCUGGAAUCCCCAUCUGGGAGGUAGAACCAAGAAGGUUCCCUGGAUUUACUGGCCAGCAAGUCUAGUUGAAUCUCAAGCUCUACGUUCAGUGAGAGACCCUGUCUCAAAAAUACAAGGUGUAGAGCAAUUGAGGAAGACUCCUGACAUUGACCUCUGGACUCUCCUGUGGACUUGCACAUGUGGGUUUCUCUGUGUAACAAGCCCUAGCUGUCCUCGAACUAGCUGUUGUACAACAGGUUGGCCUCGAAUUCACAGAGAUCGACCUGCCUCUGCCUCCCAGGUGCUGGGAUUACAAGUGUGUGCCACCACCAUCUGGCAGCAUGUAUAUUUUGAAUAUGAGUUUGGGCCAUAUAACUGUGCAGACUUACCCAGAACCCUUAAAGCCAGAAGUAAAAGGGGACAGAGAUGAACUCUUUCACUAUUUACAGAUGACUGCCUUCCUCACCAACAAAAAAAAUGUCUCCCAUGAGGGAUGAGAGUCAGGAAGGUCUGGGGAUGGAGGCUGCUGAAACACUCUCCCGGUGAUGGAACUCACACCCGAAGAGCUGUGAAAGAUGAAUCAUGUAUGCCAGAGCUUUGUAUGGAUGCCUUGAGAAUCUUGCCAGGAGAGGCCGUGAC